Molecule: long non-coding RNA, 1136 nt
Organism: Ooceraea biroi (clonal raider ant)
Lineage: Eukaryota; Metazoa; Arthropoda; Insecta; Hymenoptera; Formicidae
Source: RefSeq, a predicted model, not a curated record
GCGACCUUGAAUCGCGAGAGGGUGAGGGCCUGAGGGACGGCGCCUCGCGCGAUUCCGAAACUUUUCCUACGCUCUCUCUCUCCCGUUCGCGCUCGCGCGCGUCGGAGCGUCGAACGCGCGCAAAAGCGGCGCUUUCGGGGGUAGAAAAUACUGGAGACACCAUCGGGCUCUGUGUAAAAAAUUGGGUACCAAAAAUUUGCAUCACGCAUGAGAGGUUUUUUACGCAAUGUGAGAGAGACGUUUCGUCGAUAUCACGGAAUCAUCGAAGGUACUUCGUAAUCGAGAAGAAAAUAUAAAGAAAAAUAUAAUUAAUUUUUCUGGAGGAAGACUUGGCGUUAGCUAAGGAUGACGCCAACUUACAUCCGACACUGCGAAACGCGACUACCACCUACCUACCCCACCAGACUGAUAUGGGCCGAAUCGAUAUCUUUACUGAGAUUUCCGUGCGUAAUCGCGCCCUAAAUCGUUCUUCGGCUUAUUGGACAUUAUUUUUUUAUGGCGGAUCGCGCGCCUAGCUCUGCGCGGUCUUCCACGUGCGGCAAGAAAUUCCACAUGCGCGAUAAUUAAUGCAAUAUAUAUAUUUCUUAGUUUUCUUUCACCUUGCUUCUUGCCGGCACGAAAGGGGGUAAAGGUCAUUACUAACACCGCACGCGAAGUCUCGUUUACGAGAUCGGGCGCUUUUAAUAAAUUAAAUAAGAGUCCAAGGAUUUUUUUCUUUUCCAAGACGCAAACGAGAAGAAACGAAAACUGAUUUCGUAUCAAAUGAAUCGGACCGAGGUCUCAGCAGCGAGUUUAAAAUUAGUCCAGGACGAUCGAUUUCCGGUGAUUUUAUAUUAUUAACAAUCAGACGCGAUUGUACAUGAUUGACGCAAUUGUAUCUAAUAUUAUAUUCUCAAAGCGAUAUGGCGUGUUAUUGAUCCUUUCUUUGUUCAGCUGGAGGCAUUAUUGAUGUAACGAGUCGACUGAUUGAUCUUUGAUAGCGUAAUUUAACACGACUCGCGGAAACACGAUCGCGUGCUCGCGAGCAUUAUAUGGUGACAGCUAAUUAUGUAAUUUUUCAGUAGAGGAAAUUGGAUAACGAAGCAAGAUGUUAUCAAUUUGCUCAAUUUACCCUAUAAUAAAUAAAUUUGAAAAAA